Molecule: ribosomal RNA, 465 nt
Filed under: uncultured bacterium
Lineage: Bacteria
Description: bacterial SSU rRNA
Rfam family: Bacterial small subunit ribosomal RNA
Source: RNAcentral
AUCCUACGGGAGGCAGCAGUGGGGAAUAUUGCACAAUGGGCGCAAGCCUGAUGCAGCCAUGCCGCGUGUAUGAAGAAGGCCUUCGGGUUGUAAAGUACUUUCAGCAGUGAGGAAGGUGGGUAUGUUAAUAGCAUACUCAUUUGACGUUAGCUGCAGAAGAAGCACCGGCUAACUCCGUGCCAGCAGCCGCGGUAAUACGGAGGGUGCGAGCGUUAAUCGGAAUUACUGGGCGUAAAGCGCAUGCAGGUGGUUUGUUAAGUCAGAUGUGAAAGCCCGGGGCUCAACCUCGGAAUUGCAUUUGAAACUGGCAAACUAGAGUACUGUAGAGGGGGUAGAAUUUCAGGUGUAGCGGUGAAAAUGCGUAGAGAUCUGAAGGAAUACCGGUGGCGAAGGCGGCCCCCUGGACAGAUACUGACACUCAGAUGCGAAAGCGUGGGGAGCAAACAGGAUUAGAUACCCUGGUAG